RNAcentral lists this ribosomal RNA (397 nucleotides) under uncultured bacterium. RNAcentral describes it as "partial 16S ribosomal RNA". It matches the Rfam family "Bacterial small subunit ribosomal RNA", at positions 523 to 918 of the family's 1533-position model. The record is from RNAcentral.
CUACGUAGGGGGCGAGCGUUGUCCGGAAUGAUUGGGCGUAAAGGGCGCGUAGGCGGCCGCUUAAGUCUGGAGUGAAAGUCCUGUUUUCAAGAUGGGAAUUGCUUUGGAUACUGGGGGGCUUGAGUGCAGGAGAGGUUAUCGGAAUUCCCGGUGUAGCGGUGAAAUGCGUAGAGAUCGGGAGGAACACCAGUGGCGAAGGCGGGUAACUGGACUGCAACUGACGCUGAGGCCCGAAAGUGUGGGGAGCAAACAGGAUUAGAUACCCUGGUAGUCCACACUGUAAACGAUGAAUGCUAGGUGUAAGAGGUAUCGACCCCUUUUGCGCCGGAGUCAACACAAUAAGCAUUCCGCCUGGGGAGUACGGCCGCAAGGUUGAAACUCAAAUGAAUUGACGGGG